AUGCAAGAGCACAAAAAUCUUAUAAGAAAGUGAAGCUUUAUUAAAGAGACACUGCUGGGAUAAUUUUCUUCAAUUUUGAUUUCUGGGCAUAUGCUGAACAUCUGUCUCUACAGGGAACAUGACAACUCUGGGAUAGCUGUUUUAUCUCUAGGAAGUCUUCAAACAUCACAUGAAUCAAGUCUACUGAGAGCAUACUGCACAAAGCUUAACAACACAAUUUCAGAACAGUAAAAGAAAAUGUUUUUGAAGGAAAAGUGUUUCUGCC
RNAcentral lists this long non-coding RNA (265 nucleotides) under Parus major (Great Tit). RNAcentral's name for it is "lncRNA (ENSPMJG00000015470.1)". Lineage: Eukaryota; Metazoa; Chordata; Aves; Passeriformes; Paridae. The record is from RNAcentral.